RNAcentral lists this ribosomal RNA (773 nucleotides) under uncultured Neocallimastigales. RNAcentral describes it as "partial large subunit ribosomal RNA". It matches the Rfam family "Eukaryotic large subunit ribosomal RNA", at positions 22 to 635 of the family's 3401-position model. The record is from RNAcentral. Lineage: Eukaryota; Fungi; Neocallimastigomycota; Neocallimastigomycetes; Neocallimastigales.
GUACACGCUGUGACUAGCAUAUCAAUAAGCGGAGGAAAAGAAACUAACAAGGAUUCCCCUAGUAACGGCGAGUGAAGCGGGAAGAGCUCAAAUUUGAAAUCUUAAAGGGUUUCCCUUUACGAAUUGUAGUCUAAAGAAGUGUUUUCUGUUGAGGUUUUGGUAAAAGUUCUUUGGAAUAGGACAUCAUAGAGGGUGAGAAUCCCGUAUUUGACCUUUACUUUCAACUUUGUGAUACACUUUCAAAGAGUCGGAUUGUUUGGGAAUGCAGUCCAAAAUGGGUGAUAAAUUUCAUCUAAAGCUAAAUAUUGGCGAGAGACCGAUAGCGAACAAGUACCGUGAGGGAAAGAUGAAAAGAACUUUGAAAAGAGAGUUAAACAGUACGUGAAAUUGUCAAAAGGGAAGCGUUUGACACCAGUGUUGUUUUUCUGAAAAUCAAUUAAGGAACUGUUUAUGCUAAGUUGUUUAGACUUUAUCAGCUAACUGUUUAGUUUUGAGCUUUUCUUUAAUGCACUUUUCAGUUAGCAAGUCAACAUCAAUUUCUUUUGCUGUAAAAAAGCUUGAGGAAGGUGGCUUGAGAUUCGUCUUAAGUGUUUAUAGCCUCUUGCCUAUGCAGUCGGAGAGAUUGAGGUCUGCAGCGUAGAUCCUUCGGGGCUAAAUGCAUUUGUGCUAAGUUAUAGCAUUUUAUAGACAACUUGUUGACUAUGAUUUGUCUUGUAGCUUACUCGCUUAUGUUAUUUUACCUACGCUUAGAUGUUGAAGAUGUAGCACAUCAU